This 1551-nucleotide ribosomal RNA is filed under the name Escherichia coli. RNAcentral's name for it is "bacterial SSU rRNA". It matches the Rfam family "Bacterial small subunit ribosomal RNA". The record is from RNAcentral. Lineage: Bacteria; Pseudomonadati; Pseudomonadota; Gammaproteobacteria; Enterobacterales; Enterobacteriaceae.
AAAUUGAAGAGUUUGAUCAUGGCUCAGAUUGAACGCUGGCGGCAGGCCUAACACAUGCAAGUCGAACGGUAACAGGAAGAAGCUUGCUUCUUUGCUGACGAGUGGCGGACGGGUGAGUAAUGUCUGGGAAACUGCCUGAUGGAGGGGGAUAACUACUGGAAACGGUAGCUAAUACCGCAUAACGUCGCAAGACCAAAGAGGGGGACCUUCGGGCCUCUUGCCAUCGGAUGUGCCCAGAUGGGAUUAGCUAGUAGGUGGGGUAACGGCUCACCUAGGCGACGAUCCCUAGCUGGUCUGAGAGGAUGACCAGCCACACUGGAACUGAGACACGGUCCAGACUCCUACGGGAGGCAGCAGUGGGGAAUAUUGCACAAUGGGCGCAAGCCUGAUGCAGCCAUGCCGCGUGUAUGAAGAAGGCCUUCGGGUUGUAAAAGUACUUUCAGCGGGGAGGAAGGGAGUAAAGUUAAUACCUUUGCUCAUUGACGUUACCCGCAGAAGAAGCACCGGCUAACUCCGUGCCAGCAGCCGCGGUAAUACGGAGGGUGCAAGCGUUAAUCGGAAUUACUGGGCGUAAAAGCGCACGCAGGCGGUUUGUUAAGUCAGAUGUGAAAUCCCCGGGCUCAACCUGGGAACUGCAUCUGAUACUGGCAAGCUUUGAGUCUCGUAGAGGGGUAGAAUUCCGGUGUAGCGGUGAAAUGCGUAGAGAUCUGGAGGAAUACCGGUGGCGAAGGCGGCCCCCGGACGAAGACUGACGCUCAGGUGCGAAAGCGUGGGGAGCAAACAGGAUUAGAUACCCGGUAGUCCACGCCGUAAACGAUGUCGACUUGGAGGUUGUGCCCUUGAGGCGUGGCUUCCGGAGCUAACGCGUUAAGUCGACCGCCUGGGGAGUACGGCCGCAAGGUUAAAACUCAAAUGAAUUGACGGGGGCCCGCACAAGCGGUGGAGCAUGUGGUUUAAUUCGAUGCAACGCGAAGAACCUUACCUGGUCUUGACAUCCACGGAAGUUUUCAGAGAUGAGAAUGUGCCUUCGGGAACCGUGAGACAGGUGCUGCAUGGCUGUCGUCAGCUCGUGUUGUGAAAUGUUGGGUUAAGUCCCGCAACGAGCGCAACCCUUAUCCUUUGUUGCCAGCGGUCCGGCCGGGAACUCAAAGGAGACUGCCAGUGAUAAACUGGAGGAAGGUGGGGAUGACGUCAAGUCAUCAUGGCCCUUACGACCAGGGCUACACACGUGCUACAAUGGCGCAUACAAAGAGAAGCGACCUCGCGAGAGCAAGCGGACCUCAUAAAGUGCGUCGUAGUCCGGAUUGAGUCUGCAACUCGACUCCAUGAAGUCGGAAUCGCUAGUAAUCGUGGAUCAGAAUGCCACGGUGAAUACGUUCCCGGGCCUUGUACACACCGCCCGUCACACCAUGGGAGUGGGUUGCAAAAGAAGUAGGUAGCUUAACCUUCGGGAGGGCGCUUACCACUUUGUGAUUCAUGACUGGGGUGAAGUCGUAACAAGGUAACCGUAGGGGAACCUGCGGUUGGAUCACCUCCUUACCUUAAAGAAGC